UGAAGCAUAGUAUAAUAUAAUAUAACUCGCUUACACUGAGUUGAUGGUUAAGCUAUAACCUGCUUCAAUUUUUAUCUAUAUUUCAUUUUAAAGUUUCUUACAUCCUAAUCAUUAAACCAUUUUUUUUUUAAGUAAUGUUGAAUGAACAGUUACGCACAUUUAAAGUACCGAGAGGGAAAUAAAAAUAAUUACUAUAGUAGAGAUAAUACCUCGUACCUUUUGCAUCAUGGGAGACCAAGAAUUUUUUUAAAAUCAAACUACCCGAACUUUAAGUGAGCUAUCCUGUAAAAAAGACCUAAUGUCGCAAAAUUAUUGUUAACUACAUAAUAGAUGCUAUAUACUUACCGCACUGAAAGAUAGCUGGUUACUCAGAAAAGAUAUAAAAGUAUCUUCCUUUAUGAUAAAGGAAACACUAACAAAAGGAUAAGCUUUUGUUAGCAACCUUCAAUGGCUCAAGAAUACUAGGUUUUUAAAAGUAGGAAUAAAAUUUUCCACCACCAAUUUUGUUAUAAAAUAUAAAGCAAUAACUAGAAAAUAAAUAUUCAUUACCUUGAUUACCACUGAGUUAUGUAGAUUAACUAUCUUCACCACUACAAAACUGAUGUUUUCACAAGUAUUUUAUACAACUAAUUAACUUUUUUUUAAAAUAAAAAUCCAUAUAAAUUUAACUAAUCAAAUGUAUAUAAGGAACUCGGCAAACUUACUACCCCGCCUGUUUAUCAAAAACAUGUCUCUUAGAAAUCAUUAAGAGUCCGGCCUGCCCAGUGAUUACUUUAACGGCCGCGGUACCCUGACCGUGCAAAGGUAGCAUAAUCAUUUGCCUUUUAAUUGGAGGCUAGUAUGAAUGGUCUAACGAGAGUAAAACUGUCUCAUAUAUAUUUAACAGAAACUAAUCUAAAGGUGCAAAAGCCUUUAUCUAUUAAAAAGACGAGAAGACCCUGUUGAGCUUUAAUCUUAAUAAACAUCUUUUAUAUAUUCAUAAAUUUGCCCUGUUUACUAAAGAUUUUAAUUGGGGCGAUUAAGGAACAAUCAUUAGCUUCCUGAACCCACUCACAAAUACCUAUAAAUUAAAUCGAUCCAGCAGUGCUGAUCAACAAAACGAGUUACCACAGGGAUAACAGCAUAAUUCUUCUUAAGAGCUCAUAUCGAAAGAAGAGAUUGUGACCUCGAUGUUGGACUAGGGUAACUGAAAGGUGUAGCCGCUUUUUUGUUUGGUCUGUUCGACCAGUAAUUCCCUACGUGAUCUGAGUUCAAAACGG
RNAcentral lists this ribosomal RNA (1259 nucleotides) under Nerita atramentosa. Its description in RNAcentral is "partial large subunit ribosomal RNA". The stretch from base 599 to 1259 matches the Rfam family "Archaeal large subunit ribosomal RNA", at positions 1424 to 2690 of the family's 2987-position model. Lineage: Eukaryota; Metazoa; Mollusca; Gastropoda; Cycloneritida; Neritidae. The record is from RNAcentral.